RNAcentral lists this transfer RNA (77 nucleotides) under Candidatus Magasanikiibacteriota bacterium. RNAcentral's name for it is "tRNA-Pro". It matches the Rfam family "tRNA". From Rfam's summary of the family: Transfer RNA (tRNA) molecules are approximately 80 nucleotides in length. Their secondary structure includes four short double-helical elements and three loops (D, anti-codon, and T loops). Further hydrogen bonds mediate the characteristic L-shaped molecular structure. tRNAs have two regions of fundamental functional importance: the anti-codon, which is responsible for specific mRNA codon recognition, and the 3' end, to which the tRNAs corresponding amino acid is attached (by aminoacyl-tRNA synthetases). tRNAs cope with the degeneracy of the genetic code in two manners: having more than one tRNA (with a specific anti-codon) for a particular amino acid; and 'wobble' base-pairing, i.e. permitting non-standard base-pairing at the 3rd anti-codon position. The record is from RNAcentral. Lineage: Bacteria; Candidatus Magasanikiibacteriota.
CGGGAUAUGGCCUAAUUGGCUAGGGCGCACGCUUCGGGUGCGUGAGGUUCCGGGUUCAAGUCCCGGUAUCCCGACCA